This 1259-nucleotide long non-coding RNA is filed under the name Homo sapiens (human). Its description in RNAcentral is "MIR663A host gene". Lineage: Eukaryota; Metazoa; Chordata; Mammalia; Primates; Hominidae. The record is from RNAcentral.
GGCGAGCGCACGUCCGGUGCUCCCCUCUGGCGGGUGCGCACGGGCCCUGUGAGCGAUCGCGGUGGGCUUGGGCUGGUGACGCGUGCGCCGGCCGGCCGCCGAGGGGCUACCGUUCUGCCUCCGACCGGUCGUGUGUGGGUUUACUCGGAGAAAUACUAGGCUUUAGAAUUUCACCAUAUGAAUUUUGGGAGAGAGGAGCACAGUUCAGCCCAUAACUAACACACGACGGAAUGAAGUUGAUAAUAGUGAGACCUUGUUGGUACAAGACUAUGUAACAUAACCUGCGCUUCUCAACAAAGAAUUGCUUUUCUGACUUCUGCACUCAAUAGCAAGACAAAUCUCUCCUCUGCCUUCUCCUUAUCAGACUACUCAACAUGAAGGCAAUAAGAAUGAAGACCUCUAUGUAUAAUAAUUGACUUCCACUUAAUAAAUAAGGUUACUUGGUACACUGGUCGACAAAACCUUGAAAUGUUGAUGUUUAAGGGCUGUUGAUUGCUGGCAGCAAAGAAGUCCAACUGUGCUGGUACCCGAGAUAGCGUCUCCACAUUUUCUUCCAGGAUCAUCACCUUUGUUCUAAAUAGCUCCCACAUAGUGUGAACAGAAGUCAUAUGUUUUAGAUUUUCUGCCUUGGCACCCAGGAAACCAGUAUGAUUGAGUAAACAUAUUAAACUUCCUCUGCAUUUCCAGCCUGAACAGAUGUUGAGUACAAGCUGAUCCACCUACGUUCAACCUGAGAGAGUCCACAUCCACAGACUGUUUCAUUUCCCUUUUUCAAUUUACAUAGAAGCAUAGAUUCUUGCUGGCAUAUACAAAUGCGCCAUUUAAGGCAAUCAAAAAUGGUUCCACAUCUCAUCUGAUUUCCACAAUUGUUGCUGUAACGAUGGACUACUGAGGAGAGAGACAAUUUCUCUGGCACAUCUUCCCACAUUUUAGCAACAUGUUCAUGGAGAGCCAAUAUUCAGUAAUUACAGCCCAAUUCCUCACAAUUUCACAAUUCGCUAACAAUAUGCAUUUUCACAAUGUAAAGCUGAUUUUCCUUUAACCAAAUCAAACAUGAAAAGAUAGCUGCAUGCAAUGGGCAAUCUAGAUCAUUAGAAGAUUGAUGUAAAAUUAGAGGACACUGAGACUGGAAUAGAUUGCAAACUUCAGGGAGCUCAGAAAACUUGUAAACUCUACAUUUUGAGGAAAUAUGUUGUCGAUGCUUUUGCAACUCUAUGCAGUAACUUAACAAAUAAAGCCUUAAAGUAACUUAUCUACGA